Molecule: ribosomal RNA, 545 nt
Filed under: uncultured bacterium
Lineage: Bacteria
Description: bacterial SSU rRNA
Rfam family: Bacterial small subunit ribosomal RNA
Source: RNAcentral
AAUAGAUACCCGGGUAGUCCACGCCGUAAACGAUGAGUGCUAAGUGUUGGGGGGUUUCCGCCCCUCAGUGCUGCAGCUAACGCAUUAAGCACUCCGCCUGGGGAGUACGGCCGCAAGACUGAAACUCAAAGGAAUUGACGGGGGCCCGCACAAGCGGUGGAGCAUGUGGUUUAAUUCGAAGCAACGCGAAGAACCUUACCAGGUCUUGACAUCCCGGUGACCACUAUGGAGACAUAGUUUCCCCUUCGGGGGCAACGGUGACAGGUGGUGCAUGGUUGUCGUCAGCUCGUGUCGUGAGAUGUUGGGUUAAGUCCCGCAACGAGCGCAACCCUUAUUCUUAGUUGCCAUCAUUCAGUUGGGCACUCUAAGGAGACUGCCGGUGAUAAACCGGGAGGAAGGUGGGGAUGACGUCAAAUCAUCAUGCCCCUUAUGACCUGGGCUACACACGUGCUACAAUGGACGGUACAAACGGUUGCCAACCCGCGAGGGGAGCUAAUCCGAUAAAACCGUUCUCAGUUCGGAUUGUAGGCUGCAACUCGCCUACA